Molecule: long non-coding RNA, 646 nt
Filed under: Macaca mulatta (Rhesus monkey)
Lineage: Eukaryota; Metazoa; Chordata; Mammalia; Primates; Cercopithecidae
Description: lncRNA (ENSMMUG00000059151.1)
Source: RNAcentral
CUUUAUUUAAAGAUUCCAUGCAAAUGUCUGCUAUUGCUCCUAUGCACAGCUUUUUCCUUUUCAGACCCUGAAAUCCUCGCCUCUUGUCCAAGCUUGAAACUUGCACCAGCAGUGUGGUGAGAUUGUUGUCUCUUUUGGAUUCGUUGUCUCUUCAGUGUGCAGUGAAAAGUGCCCCCAGGCUGGAAUCCAGUCCAGAAACAGACAAUGUGAAAAUACUUUCACUUCAACGGCAUGAAGAUUACAUAGAAGAAAAAGCCAGAUGCAAGUCCUUAUUUUUCCUCAUUCAUUGAAUUUAUUUUCACUGUUAUUUUUAAAAAAUGGGCAAAAGAAGGUAGAAUUUCAAUUGUUCCUUAGAACAACAUGGACUGGUGUUUUCGAAAAAGCAAAGUGGAAAUGAUCAGGCAGCAGGGACUCUAUGCAGAAAAAAGUAAGAAGCAAAAAAGAAUUUCUCAGAAAAGCAGAUUUGAAGCACAAUCGUCAUCAGUUCAUAGGAGAAUUUUGAAGGUAACAGAGAGAUCUCCAAUGAUGAUGGUGCAAAUUCUUGUUCGCUACAUAUUAACUACGUGGAUAUUAAUUAACCUCUGCAAUAUUACCUAACCAUUUGAAACUUCAGUUUCAUUAUUUUUUUAAAAAGAUGCCAAUGUGA